RNAcentral lists this unclassified non-coding RNA (432 nucleotides) under soil metagenome. Its description in RNAcentral is "partial contains 5.8S ribosomal RNA, internal transcribed spacer 2, and large subunit ribosomal RNA". The stretch from base 1 to 120 matches the Rfam family "5.8S ribosomal RNA", at positions 35 to 154 of the family's 154-position model. The record is from RNAcentral.
GAUGAAGAACGCAGCGAAAUGCGAUACGUAAUGUGAAUUGCAGAAUUCAGUGAAUCAUCGAAUCUUUGAACGCAUAUUGCGCUCUCUGGUAUUCCGGAGAGCAUGCUUGUUUGAGUAUCAGUAAACACCUCAACUUCCAUAUCUUUUUUGAAAUGGGAGUUGGACUUGAGUGAUCCCAACGCUUUUCCUCACCGAAAAGUGGCGGGUUAAUUGAAAUGCAGGUGCAGCUGGACUUUUCUCUGAGCUAUAAGCAUAUCUAUUUAGUCUGCCUAAAAAACAGAUUAUUACCUUUGCUGCAGCUAACAUAAAGGAGAUUAGUUCUUGUGCUGACUGAUGCAGGAUUCACAAAGACAGCUUCGGCCGACUUUGUAAACUCGAUCUCAAAUCAAGUAAGACUACCCGCUGAACUUAAGCAUAUCAAUAAGCGGAGGA